GAUGAACGCUGGCGGCGUGCCUAAUACAUGCAAGUCGAGCGAACGGACGAGAAGCUUGCUUCUCUGAUGUUAGCGGCGGACGGGUGAGUAACACGUGGAUAACCUACCUAUAAGACUGGGAUAACUUCGGGAAACCGGAGCUAAUACCGGAUAAUAUUUUGAACCGCAUGGUUCAAAAGUGAAAGACGGUCUUGCUGUCACUUAUAGAUGGAUCCGCGCUGCAUUAGCUAGUUGGCAAGGUAACGGCUUACCAAGGCAACGAUGCAUAGCCGACCUGAGAGGGUGAUCGGCCACACUGGAACUGAGACACGGUCCAGACUCCUACGGGAGGCAGCAGUAGGGAAUCUUCCGCAAUGGGCGAAAGCCUGACGGAGCAACGCCGCGUGAGUGAUGAAGGUCUUCGGAUCGUAAAACUCUGUUAUUAGGGAAGAACAUAUGUGUAAGUAACUGUGCACAUCUUGACGGUACCUAAUCAGAAAGCCACGGCUAACUACGUGCCAGCAGCCGCGGUAAUACGUAGGUGGCAAGCGUUAUCCGGAAUUAUUGGGCGUAAAGCGCGCGUAGGCGGUUUUUUAAGUCUGAUGUGAAAGCCCACGGCUCAACCGUGGAGGGUCAUUGGAAACUGGAAAACUUGAGUGCAGAAGAGGAAAGUGGAAUUCCAUGUGUAGCGGUGAAAUGCGCAGAGAUAUGGAGGAACACCAGUGGCGAAGGCGACUUUCUGGUCUGUAACUGACGCUGAUGUGCGAAAGCGUGGGGAUCAAACAGGAUUAGAUACCCUGGUAGUCCACGCCGUAAACGAUGAGUGCUAAGUGUUAGGGGGUUUCCGCCCCUUAGUGCUGCAGCUAACGCAUUAAGCACUCCGCCUGGGGAGUACGACCGCAAGGUUGAAACUCAAAGGAAUUGACGGGGACCCGCACAAGCGGUGGAGCAUGUGGUUUAAUUCGAAGCAACGCGAAGAACCUUACCAAAUCUUGACAUCCUUUGACAACUCUAGAGAUAGAGCCUUCCCCUUCGGGGGACAAAGUGACAGGUGGUGCAUGGUUGUCGUCAGCUCGUGUCGUGAGAUGUUGGGUUAAGUCCCGCAACGAGCGCAACCCUUAAGCUUAGUUGCCAUCAUUAAGUUGGGCACUCUAAGUUGACUGCCGGUGACAAACCGGAGGAAGGUGGGGAUGACGUCAAAUCAUCGUGCCCCUUAUGAUUUGGGCUACACACGUGCUACAAUGGACAAUACAAAGGGCAGCGAAACCGCGAGGUCAAGCAAAUCCCAUAAAGUUGUUCUCAGUUCGGAUUGUAGUCUGCAACUCGACUACAUGAAGCUGGAAUCGCUAGUAAUCGUAGAUCAGCAUGCUACGGUGAAUACGUUCCCGGGUCU
Molecule: ribosomal RNA, 1372 nt
Filed under: uncultured bacterium
Lineage: Bacteria
Description: bacterial SSU rRNA
Rfam family: Bacterial small subunit ribosomal RNA
Source: RNAcentral